UGUUGACAGUUACCAAACUGUUGCCUCGGCGGGGUCACGCCCCGGGUGCGUCGCAGCCCCGGAACCAGGCGCCCGCCGGAGGAACCAACCAAACUCUUUCUGUAGUCCCCUCGCGGACGUAUUUCUUACAGCUCUGAGCAAAAAUUCAAAAUGAAUCAAAACUUUCAACAACGGAUCUCUUGGUUCUGGCAUCGAUGAAGAACGCAGCGAAAUGCGAUAAGUAAUGUGAAUUGCAGAAUUCAGUGAAUCAUCGAAUCUUUGAACGCACAUUGCGCCCGCCAGUAUUCUGGCGGGCAUGCCUGUCCGAGCGUCAUUUCAACCCUCGAACCCCUCCGGGGGAUCGGCGUUGGGGAUCGGGACCCCUCACACGGGUGCCGGCCCCGAAAUACAGUGGCGGUCUCGCCGCAGCCUCUCCUGCGCAGUAGUUUGCACAACUCGCACCGGGAGCGCGGCGCGUCCACGUCCGUAAAACACCCAACUUUCUGAAAUGUUGACCUCGGAUCAGGUAGGAAUACCCGCUGAACUUAAGCAUAUCAAA
RNAcentral lists this ribosomal RNA (538 nucleotides) under Trichoderma asperelloides. Its description in RNAcentral is "eukaryotic LSU rRNA". The stretch from base 160 to 313 matches the Rfam family "5.8S ribosomal RNA". Lineage: Eukaryota; Fungi; Ascomycota; Sordariomycetes; Hypocreales; Hypocreaceae. The record is from RNAcentral.